Photinus pyralis (common eastern firefly) is the source of this 449-nucleotide long non-coding RNA. RefSeq lists it as uncharacterized. NCBI's taxonomy places the organism in Eukaryota, Metazoa, Arthropoda, Insecta, Coleoptera, Lampyridae. The transcript is spliced from 2 exons. The record is from RefSeq and is a predicted model, not a curated record.
AUAAGGUAAGGAUCACUAUAGUAGCUCUGUCAUAAAACAAUUUUCUUGGUACUAAGAAAGUAGUAAUAGUCCAACGCUAGAGCAAAAGUAUCCCUGAAAUGAAAUACAUAGUCGUAACACUCAUCGCCUUAGCACUUUGCUACAAUGCGUCUGCCCAAUAUCCUUGCGAUCCCUAUGGUAGGAACCCCGAAUGUGAUUGUGGAGAAAUUGGCGAAAUAUACUGGACGGAAUCGGCGAGAAUUUGCGAAUUUAGGUGUAGGGACAUGUACGGCAGGAUAUAUACGUGCGAGGAAAUAGAAGUAAUGUAGAGACUACGGCACGAUCGUAGUAAUAUUAAGUACCACUCUGUCACAUACGCAGACCGUUUAAAUAUUUUGAUUUUAAACCAAUGCCUGUUUGCGCCUCACAAUUCAAAACUUAAUUGAGAAAUACAAUCGCACUAUUCCAUG